This 1167-nucleotide ribosomal RNA is filed under the name Campylobacter jejuni. Its description in RNAcentral is "partial 23S ribosomal RNA". It matches the Rfam family "Bacterial large subunit ribosomal RNA", at positions 1 to 1188 of the family's 2925-position model. The record is from RNAcentral. Lineage: Bacteria; Pseudomonadati; Campylobacterota; Epsilonproteobacteria; Campylobacterales; Campylobacteraceae.
AGGUAAGCUACUAAGAGCGAAUGGUGGAUGCCUUGACUGGUAAAGGCGAUGAAGGACGUACUAGACUGCGAUAAGCUACGGGGAGCUGUCAAGAAGCUUUGAUCCGUAGAUUUCCGAAUGGGGCAACCCAAUGUAUAGAGAUAUACAUUACCUAUAUAGGAGCGAACGAGGGGAAUUGAAACAUCUUAGUACCCUCAGGAAAAGAAAUCAAUAGAGAUUGCGUCAGUAGCGGCGAGCGAAAGCGCAAGAGGGCAAACCCAGUGCUUGCACUGGGGGUUGUAGGACUGCAAUGUGCAAGAGCUGAGUUUAGCAGAACAUUCUGGAAAGUAUAGCCAUAGAGGGUGAUAGUCCCGUAUGCGAAAAACAAAGCUUAGCUAGCAGUAUCCUGAGUAGGGCGGGACACGAGAAAUCCUGUCUGAAUCCGGGUCGACCACGAUCCAACCCUAAAUACUAAUACCAGAUCGAUAGUGCACAAGUACCGUGAGGGAAAGGUGAAAAGAACUGAGGUGAUCAGAGUGAAAUAGAACCUGAAACCAUUUGCUUACAAUCAUUCAGAGCCCUAUGUAGCAAUACAGGGUGAUGGACUGCCUUUUGCAUAAUGAGCCUGCGAGUUGUGGUGUCUGGCAAGGUUAAGCAAACGCGAAGCCGUAGCGAAAGCGAGUCUGAAUAGGGCGCUUAGUCAGAUGCUGCAGACCCGAAACGAAGUGAUCUAUCCAUGAGCAAGUUGAAGCUAGUGUAAGAACUAGUGGAGGACUGAACCCAUAGGCGUUGAAAAGCCCCGGGAUGACUUGUGGAUAGGGGUGAAAGGCCAAUCAAACUUCGUGAUAGCUGGUUCUCUCCGAAAUAUAUUUAGGUAUAGCGUUGUGUCGUAAUAUAAGGGGGUAGAGCACUGAAUGGGCUAGGGCAUACACCAAUGUACCAAACCCUAUCAAACUCCGAAUACCUUAUAUGUAAUCACAGCAGUCAGGCGGCGAGUGAUAAAAUCCGUCGUCAAGAGGGAAACAACCCAGACUACCAGCUAAGGUCCCUAAAUCUUACUUAAGUGGAAAACGAUGUGAAGUUACUUAAACAACCAGGAGGUUGGCUUAGAAGCAGCCAUCCUUUAAAGAAAGCGUAAUAGCUCACUGGUCUAGUGAUUUUGCGCGGAAAAUAUAACGGGGCUAAAGU